Acinonyx jubatus (cheetah) is the source of this 9387-nucleotide long non-coding RNA. RefSeq lists it as uncharacterized. The transcript is spliced from 4 exons. NCBI's taxonomy places the organism in Eukaryota, Metazoa, Chordata, Mammalia, Carnivora, Felidae. The record is from RefSeq and is a predicted model, not a curated record.
AAUCGAAGUCAGACGCCCAACCAACUGAGCCACCCAGGUGCCCCCUCGGUGGCCCUGUUUCCAAAUAUGUUCACCUUGUGAGGGACGUGAAGUUAGGAGUUCAACACAGGAAUUUGGGCAGGGGCAGAAUUCAAUUCAUAACACAUAGUAAACACUCAAGUGGUAGUUAUUAUUCACAAUACCUUCUUCAAACACGUUUUCAUGGGGGUAUUUUUGUAGCCAGGUUUGCAUCUUUUUCUCAUCGUCUUUCCAGGCCUUCAUUAUGCCUAGAAAGAAAGUGCCCUGAGAGCAGGUGAUUUGACCGUGGGGUUCAGUCCUGUGCUGUCUAGGGUCUAGGCAGCAGUGGGCCCCCUGGAAGCCCCACGGAAUGUCUACAGAUUAAUGAAUGAGGUCUGUUUCUCUCCUCCUUUCUAUUUACUUAUUUUUUAUUUCUCAAUGGCCAGCCUUCCACCUUAGUUACCUUUUCUAGAUUGCGAAAGCAUUAAAGGCAAAAGACAUGAAACCAAACACAUUUUAAUUUCCUUUGUUGAUAAUUAUUAAAUCCUCCAUAAUCACUUGCUUCCUGCAGCCAGUGAGAAACCUAGCCAGAUGGCAGAGGGCAACAGAAGUGUUGCUGGGGGUGGGGGGAGUGAAGUGCCUGUGUUGGGGACACUUAGAGGCCAUUCUGGGCACUUCCCGGGUGCUUGAUUUUGGCCGGAGCUGGGUAUUUGGAAUGCAUGUGGCCCAACUCUACUCUGAGAGUCUGGGAAGAAACCAGUGAGGUCAAUAUUGGCUCUACAGGUUGAAAGUCAAAGUCAAAAUGAAGAGCCACAGGCCUGGAAAGGUACAGGGACUUUAUCUGGUCCUCAGAAAGGUGUGACGGAUGCCCCCCGCAUCUCGUGCAAUGAUUCUCUGUCCGCACACCACCAGUGCGGGCCCAAAAGAUGUGGCCACCUGUGUGUGAUGGCUCCUGGUCUGAAAACAGGUCAGGAGUUGUGUGAAUCUUGGACUUGGACAGGAAGUGGAGUGUGAAACGCCGACAGACCAUGCUGUGUAUUCGAGAGACCCAGAGACGGACUGUUGUAAGCUAAGUAGCUCUGUACUGGUGCCCGGACUCAAACCCCCCCCCCCCCACCUUCCGGUGAGAGAAAACAGUGAAAACACCCUAAUAGUGUGCUGGCAUCAUCACGGUACAAAUGCAUCUAUCCAUCUGCCCAGCCAGCUUCUCACCGCUGUAGAACAGAUGUUGCACAUGCACACAGCCCCUGGCAAGAAACAGGAAGGAUCCAGCCGGGUGGGGGCUGGGGUUCAGGAGAGGCAAUAGCAAAGCAGUGAUAUACUUUCAGGCUACUGUUACCACUUGGGACCAAUGAAAACAGUGUGGGCUCAUCCUUGCCCACUUCUUUUUUAAUUAAGGAUUUAACUGGGUAUUGAACUCGACUUAAAAACGUUUUUAUGGUGGAGCAUCUCAAAAAUACGCAGAAGCAAAUAGAGGAGUGUAAUCAUCCCCACGAACCCAUCCCUCAGCCUGGACAAUCAUUAUUCCACGGCCGUCCGGCCCCACGUACACGGCUCUACCCACUUCCGCUGUUUCUACAGACUGAAUGUUAACACAGAAUGAAAGUGUUUUCCACUAGUGAAACAAUAGGACACUGAGUCCUUGGACCAGCGCUCAGGCUCAUGCAUAGACCCAAGCGUCAGGAGAGAACAGAUUUGAGAAAGGAAGAAACGUCAUGUUGUUUUCAUGCUGCUCCGGUUCUGCCGUGUUUCAAAAAAAAGUCAGAGGAGGCUACCGGUCAGCAGACAAUUAGUGAGAGCACGAGGCACUGCCCUUCACUUUGUGUUGCCGGGGACACGAAGAUGAGAUGAGUGUGUUUCCUGAUCGCAGAGGUCUUUACAGUUUUCUGUGGGAGAUCGCACCCCUACUCUUGAUACAAAGUGGCCUAAAGGUCAUACCUUAGAAGAUGUAGGAGGCAGACCACACCCUGAUGAUCCACACACCUUGCAAGAUGUCCUGUGGUUUCUGGUCACUCAAGCACCCCUGGUCUUUGGAUCGCCCUGGGGAGUAUACUUCAGGGAGGAACACACAGACUGUUGGUGCCAGGCGGUGCUUGGGCUUUGGCUGACAUCUGGUCAACCCCACAGUCAUAAAGCUGCACAGACCUGCAGUGUGGAAGAGACAGACCGCUCCAGUGAAAAGUCGGGUUUUCCAGCUCUAACUUCCAGGGGUUAUUCCAAGUGUCAGGGGUGUGAGAGGAACGGAAGGCGUUCAAGAGAACUGACGAAGAGUGUUUGGGCUGGGAGUGGACUCUGCUCCCCUCCCGAGGCUGGCCCAGCCCAGCCCACCUCACCCCCAAGUCUUUGAAGUGCGCUACCUGGAUGGUGAGCUAAGCCACGCUUGGCAGGAGGGAGGGAGGUUGUGUGGUCUGGCAAAGAGCAGAGCGGAGGGGCAGAGGGACCAAGCCUGAAUCUGUAGCUGACUCACGGCACCUCUCGUGCCAGGCCGUUUCACCAUUCAGUCCAGAUGGAAAAUGAGGAAAAGACCCAAAUCAGGAUCUCACUGAGAAAUCCAGAUGCCUUUCAGGAGAAUAAACAAGGCAGCCUGCUCUCUGCGGUCUCCGUUUCCCUGUUUCUGUGCGAGUGUGUAUGUGUCCGUUUCUGGAUCUUAGGGGGGUGUGUGUUAGCUUUGAUCAUUUCUCCGUCCCCCUUCCUCUUACUUCCUGUGGGGAUCCGCUUCAGGACUUGCUUUUGGUCUCAGCUUCAGUCACUGUCUUCAGGCACUUCUGGUACAGGAACAAAGAUCAGCAGCAAAAAAUCACUCCUUUCAAGCAUCGUGAUGGUUGUUCUGCCUCUGCUCACGGGGAGCAAGUCUCAGUGCCUUGAACCCUCCCUGUCCCAUCACAAUGAUUGGCUCAGGGAAGGACACCUGACCCCGUCAAGACUCAUUCCUCAGUGAGCUGGGCCCACUAGACCCUCGUUCAGACAUGUGAGUGAAAGGUACAGAUGGAAGAAUUGGUCGUGGUCACGGGAGCUGAAAAGUCUUAGCGGAGGCUGGGAUAUUGGGCAACAAGGUGAACAGGCACUCAGUGGCAAGUGAGGAGGAUGCAGCUGAUAAGCUGGAGACAAGUGAGAGUCACCCUGGUUUUCUUGGAUCCUCUGAUGUUUUCCCCACGAUUCCAUGACACUCCGUGACAUGAUUCCAGUAUUCCCUCUCAACAGCCCCUGUUACUCCUUGAACUCGUCCGAGAGGGUUUCUGUUCUUUGCGAUCAAAAGGACUUUCACUACAACGUCUUCGUGGAUUUUUGGAUUUGGAGUGGUGCCGGGCGGUCCCUGACGUCUUCUUCUGCCACCUCGAAGAGUGUUGGGAUUGUGUAUGUUUAUGGUACGUUGACUCUGCAAGAUGCUGUGUGGUAAGAGCUCAUUGUUUUGUCAGCUUUCAGGAGCAGAAAUCUCCCACUCUUAGGAAGCUCCGACGCUGGUCCUCUCGCUGAAGGUUGAACCCCUCUUCCAUUAUGCUUUGUAUUCCCUCUGGGAGCCCUGUAGCUCUUUCUUUUUCCAAAAAAUUGUAUGCGUUCUAGGAGACCAGAGAUGUUUUUUCUGCACCUAAAAACUCUGAGUUUCUCACCGGAGAUGUCCUGGAGAUAGAAAAAUCUCUUUGGAAGCUUUAAGCCAUAUCUUAUCCUUGAAGGAUGCCUUAUGUUUCAGGACCUGACCAUGUCCUUCUGAGGAUUCACCAAAUGUUCACAGACAUCAUCUCUUUGGUCCUUCUGACAAUAUCUGGUUAGUUACGUGAACCCAUUCUACCAGCCUGGAAAUAGAAGCCGCAGGAGGGCCGGUUGGCAGUAUCGAUCUCUGAGGCAAGCCAGCAUUGGAAAGCCGAAUAGAAUGCUUCUUUUCCCAACCAUCACAGGCUCACUGCCAAGCUGCCAGCUAGAGACCUGAGCCUUGGGCAGACCUCGUUUCAGGGUGAGUCAAAAGCGUGAGGGAAUCUUGUCCACACAUGCCUAACAAGGGAAAGGCCCCCAACAGAGAUGUUUCAAGGAGUUCUAUCAGAAAUUUGGGAGAUCUUUGCUCUACUCUAGGAGAGAGAGAGAGAGCUCAUCAAAUUGGAGGGUGCAUAGCUAUCCGGGAGAUGAGCAGGGGAAGAACUUAGGGAUGCCCUAAGACCCUGUCUUCAUUGUCAUGGUCAGUGUUUAUGGAGUACAGAGUUGUAGCCUUCAUGAUAGGCUCAAUAUACAUCUAGUCCUUUAACAAUAGAUCUGCUAAGACAGCACGACUGCUGUCUUGGGCAUCUCUGUGAUGUUACCUUAGAGACCAGCUAAGCCACUUCUUUGAUUUUCUCUAGCACCUGAGAAUUAAACUCUGCACCCGGACCAAUACUUUCAGCCGUUUCUUAAUCCAAACCAGUACUGUUGUGGAGGGAAAAUUUAGAAUGAGAGAGAAAAUAGCCUUUUGGGAUACCAAAGGUCUUUGACAUUUGGUGAGUUUGAGCAUCCCUACACUCUCAACAUUUAAUCAUGGGCAUAUUCCUGAGUGGGAGCAGGAUUAAGGCAGAUGGUGAGGGGCCUUAAAGCAACUUGCUCUGCCCUAGAUCCUCAGCCCUAGUAAUUUUCAGACGGUUAUACGAAAAUAGAAUUCACAACGGAUCAAGGUUCACGUUUAUGGUAGAGGGUCUAUGUGGGGCUGGGUAGUAGUGUUUCUGUGGGGGACCUAGGGUAGAUGCCUUACUUAGGGUUAAGGAUGUCAGAUAAAGCAUAAGAUGGUCAGUUAAAUUAAAGUUGCAGAUAAACAAUGAAUAGAGUUUAGCAUAAGAAUGUCCCAUGCAAUAUUUGAGACAUACUUACAUUGAAAUUUGUUGUUUCUCUGGAAUUCAAAUUUAACCAAGUAGCCUACAUUUUUAUUUUUAUCUGACAACUCUACCUGCUCUACCUGGGGCAGAUCAAAUCCCCGGCAUCUCCGGGUUUGUGUGGAGGUGGUGUGUGUGGAUGUUUACACGUAGGAGGCAUGGGUACCAAAGCACAUAAGAAGAGUGUGUCUGUAUCUUGGGAGGAAACAGUAUCUGGGUCAGAAGUCAUAUGAGUGUUUUUAUUUUUAUUUUUUUGGCUCUUGAAUGGUUCCAAAAUUAUUAAUUUUCUAUUUCCAAACACUUCCCAAGAACUUAGAGAUCCUUGGAGUGCUCCAAAGGCCCUCGUGAAACUUGGGCAAUGGGUCUCCUCCAUUAAACUUCUCCACGAGGUCAUUUGGAAGAAUGAGCUAGCUGGGAUUCUUAGCGUGUGGAUCUUUCCUUCCUCUUUUUAUCAUUAUCUAGAAUUGUUCUCAUUAAACCCCUCUUUCUUCUCUGUGAUGAGCCACCAGAGAGAUGAAAUAUGAAGACAGAAGCUGUAGGAGCUUGGGCACGGCUGGGGGAAAAAAUAAAUGGACUCUUCUUAGAGGUUCCGGCGCAAGAAAGAGGGGCAUCCAGCGAGGGCUUUGUGGGUGCGGCGAGAACAGACUCUGGGCUAGGACUCAGGGAAAGCUGGCAGGGGAUGAGUCAAUCCGUAGCAGGUCUAGGAAUGGAAGACUCUCCGCGGCUGGCUCUGGGCUGUGCAAAGGGAGUGGCGAGUGAGGGCUUUUAGCUCCAGGCUCAGUCCUGGAGGAGGAAGGGGAGGGGCAGGCAACAUUACAGGUUGCAACUAACUCCAAAGCAUUGCCCAGAGCUUUUUGGUUGCCCUGGAAUAGAGGGGUAAGUUCAACCGCCAGUCUGGGGUAUCUGGAGCUUUUUGUUCAAGGCGGAUUUGCCCCUGUUUGAUGCCGGUUGUCAGAGGACUUGGCCAGGGUUAAGUAGUGUUAAGUGCGGGACAGGGGUGAGGAGGCGGGCUGGUCCCAGGUUUCCUGUCCUGGCAAGCUCUCCCUGAAUGCCUGGGUAGGACACGCUCUCUGGAACCGAGUGUUCCUGUGACAUCCAAUGCGAGCAUCUAUCUGUCCCUCUCCUUGGUGGCCUUCUCUGGGGAUACGCUGGUCCCAGUUCUGCUACCUGGGAGCACACACCCUGUGUCAGCAUGGGGCCACCUGGGGCCACAGGGUGGUCGUUCAGACCCACCAAUGUCUCAUUUCCCAGACCCAGACAACACACCGGGUGGCAAAUUCUGGAAAACUCGGGUUUGGUCAAGCUGGAGACUCAACCUGUUAGUGCAGGUGGAGGACAAGAUUCCUACUGGCUUCCCUGUGCCUCCCAAGUUCCUGGCCAACACAGGCACCAGACUCUGCAGACUCUGCCAAGAAGUUCCCUUCUCUUUGCAUCUUUGACUCCCAUUUAAUUGAGGGCCACAGAAAAACGGAUACAUCCCUUUGGACUCAGUUUCCUCAUCUGUAAAGUGGGUGGUACCACAUCCACUCCCGGUCUCAAACUAGGACAUUCCCUUCCUAAAGCCUACAAUGAUACAGUUUAGAUGUAGAGUAAGGAUCUCUUUGCAAAGGCUCUUGGGGUUUGCCCCUAACAUAUCCAUCUUCUUAAAUUUGGAGAGUCAUGGAGAUCUUGAGGUAUAAUUCUUGGGAAUGUCAAGGAUUUAGUGCAUAGCAAAGUAUCGAUAAUGUGUUAUCGUCGGUGGCUGGGGUCGGGGCGAAUCUUAAGCAUUUGUAUCUUCUGCAUGAGUGGGCAUCACUUGUGCAAAGAGAAGUAAGCAUUACUUUGGAAGGCUGUCUUGAGGGGAGCCAUCCAGCCUCCCCUUUGCUACCCCUUUUUUGGAGGAUGCUGACAGGUGAGCAGAUUUUUGUGUGUGUGUGUUAGGAGCCAGGGGUUCGAUUCUGUGGCCUCUGGAAGACCCUUAUGACAGAUGAGUCUGUGCUCAGUGCACACAGCUAACUCGUACCUCUCUGCAGGAGCAUGUUGCCAGGAGCCAGAGCGGGAGGAAGAAGAGGAGUGAGAGUGGGAAAGGAAGAAUGGAGGAGGGGGAGAAAGGAGAGUAAGAGAGAAAAACCACACUGUCAUGGAAAGCUUGAACCUUCCCUUUCAGCCUUUCUCUUGUAAUUAGUCGGUGCAGCUGGAGGGGAAGACGUUUUGGUGAGUUGCAACUUGUUGGACUCCAGUCCUCAGGAUGUUGAAGGCUUGCUCAGUGUCUGGGGAAAACUCAGUUCUCAGAUGGCCCCUCCUCCCUCUCUGUCUUUUUAUUUCAACUCCCCACCCAGAGGGGGUUUGUGAAGGGUUGGAAACUUUCUAGUGUCUUGGCCAGGAAGCCUUCUACCUAGGGCUGACCUGGAGGCGCUGGGGAGGACCUGGGUGAAACCGGAUUCCCUCCACCAGGGAUCUGGGAGCCGACUCUGCAAAGGUCUCAAGGUCUCAGAGGAGCAGUACAGAGGGUAGCAAAGGAACAGGGAGGGGGCCGAGCUCCAGUAGGGCAAGUGCGGUCUGGUUGGUUCCUCCCAGGCAGGGAUCCUCUUGCGAUCCCGGGAGUGUGGUGCCAGCGUCUGCCUCCUCCCUGCAUUGCAGGCUCCAAGGCCAUCAACGAGGGCGACUUUUAUGACUACGGGUGCCCAGGGUAGUGCGCUUGAGUGGCCUGUUGGGGAGAGCAGGGCCUCCAAAGACAGAUGACUGGAUUUGAAUCCUGAUUCUCUGCUUACCACUUGAAUAACUUGAAUAACUUGCAGCCAGUUGCUUAAUUUCCUUGUGUCUCAGUUUUCUCACCUGUCAAGUGGGUAGAAGGUAAUCUACCUCCUUAAGAAGGGUGUUCAGCAGAGCCCCUGGUGCACAAGCACUGUUAUAAGCUUCUAUUAUUACUGUUCUCGCAGGAGGCCACAAGGAUUUUGCUUAGGGACAGGGCACACCCACCUUUGGGCCCCACCCGGCAGCAGGAAUCGAGACGCUGUGCCAGUGAGAACUUCUAUCUAUAACCAGUAGGUAUGGCCCCUGGAAGUGGAGGCACUGCCUUUGCAUUGGACCAGAGCAGGGCUGCUGGUGGGGCUGCCUAGAGGUGACUGCGUGGGAAACACGGGACCCUGAGGGUGAUGUGGUCGGCUCUGCUCCCGGCUUGCUAAUCGCUCCUCUCCCGCUUAUCCAGCUGGCCGUGUCGGGCGGCAAGAGCUGAGUGCCUUCGUCAUCACGUGUCAGCCAGGUGAGCGGCAAGGGUCACGGGGGAACAGAAAGAUUCUUCAAUGUCAUCUGAUUUGCCUUUGGUGGGAGACGCUUCUCUCUGCUGAUGGGCCUGGCCACCGGCCAUCACAAUAGCUGUCGUUUACGGGGGAUCUACUCAGUGCCCUGCGCACUGCGAUCGGUUCAUGUCUCUUGUCCUCACAUCUACCCUGAAAGAAGGGAUAGUCAUUCCUAGGUCGGAGAUGACCAACUGAUCAUCCAAGGUCAGGCUGCUCCUAAGUGCUCCGUGAGCAUGAGGAUGAAUUGUAGGAUUCCCAAGCUUGGGUUCCUAAUAAUGUUAAGAGUAACUGACGUUAACAGAGCCCCUGCUACGUGGGUGAUUUUACUGACGAUUUAACACCACACACGGAGCCGUGCCUCUCUUACAGAUGGGGGUGUUGUGGGUGGGGAGGUCAGACCAGACGUUCGGGUCGCUGUAAUCAUAGCUAACAUUUAUUGAUCGCGUCCCAUAUGCCUGUUGUGUAGAAUACAAUACACAGCUUCACCUAUGCGAUUCUUACAGCAAUCUCAUUUGACGUACGACAAAAGUGAACCUGACUUUCUCGGUGUCACUGAGCAGCAAGUUGGAAGAACUUGGGGUUCCGAAUCCUGUUUUUCUUGAUGAGCUGCCCACGGCCUCCUGCAUCCCCCACUUCCUCUCAUCUCCCCAGGGUUUCAGGAGACAGUUUCUCCUAGUCCCUGUCUCUGUCCCCUUUCUGAGGGGAGAGAGAAGUUUGCCCAGUGUCCAUCUCGGAGCAGGGCCACUGAGGUCCUCAGGAACCAGCCCACCCAAUUUUACUUCUUGUCAAGCAAAAGGCAUUUUGUGUAUUUACUCAUUUUUUAUUGUUGAGUUUUUAAAAUUUUUAUUAAAAAAAUUUUUUUUAACAUUCAUUUAUUUUUGAGACAGAGCGAGCAUGAGCAGGGGACAGGCAGAGAGAGAGGGAGACACAGAAUCCAAAGCAGGCUCCAGGCUCUGAGCCGUCAGCACAGAGCCUGACGUGGGGCUCAAACUCACAAACGGGGAGAUCAUGACGUGAGCUGAAGUUGGACGCCCAACCUACUGAGCCACCCAGGCGCCCUAUUAUUGAGUUUUAAACCUUAAUUCCUGUAUAGGUAACAUAGCGUGACAUAUUAUAUUAGUUUCAGGUGUAUAUAUAAUAGAGUGAUUCAACAACUCUAUACGUUGCUCAGUGUUUACUGUGGUAAGUGUACUUUUCAUCCCCAGCACCUAUCUCCCCCACCCUCACCUGCCUCCCCUCUGGUAACCAUUGGCUUCUUCUCUAGAGCUAAGAGUCUAUUUCUU